UGGAGUUCUUGGUGAAAGAAAGGGAAAUGAAACCUUGGAAUGUCUUGAAAUGAUGGCUUUGACCUGGAGAGACUGAAGACCUGAGACUUUUGGAUGAAGGGUGAAGCUGAAGGAAACAGAACUGAAUAACAGUUCUCAAAAGCAGAGGCCUGAAAAAUCAUAACUUUCUUCUUUUCCUCUAUGAAACUGGAUGCGUCAUAUGUAACUCAGAGCGUGGGACAUAUACAGGCUAGUUGUUCCAGCAAUAUAUCUGAAACACUCAAACUUUUCUCUUUAUGGAAGAGCAGAGAAGAGUUGAUGUAUCUGGGAGCUACUGACAAGCAAACACUCGAUCAUCACAGAAUACUAUGAAACUACUCUAAUAGCCUGUCUUCAACUUCUAGUGGCAA
This 389-nucleotide long non-coding RNA is filed under the name Numida meleagris (helmeted guineafowl). RNAcentral describes it as "lncRNA (ENSNMEG00000013661.1)". Lineage: Eukaryota; Metazoa; Chordata; Aves; Galliformes; Numididae. The record is from RNAcentral.